CAGGUAGCUCAAUCGGCAGAGCGCAAGACUGAAAAUCUUGAGGUCGUUAGAUCAAAACUAACCCUG
Molecule: transfer RNA, 66 nt
Filed under: Climacostomum virens
Lineage: Eukaryota; Ciliophora; Heterotrichea; Heterotrichida; Climacostomidae
Rfam family: tRNA
About the family: Transfer RNA (tRNA) molecules are approximately 80 nucleotides in length. Their secondary structure includes four short double-helical elements and three loops (D, anti-codon, and T loops).
Source: RNAcentral